RNAcentral lists this ribosomal RNA (388 nucleotides) under uncultured bacterium. Its description in RNAcentral is "bacterial SSU rRNA". It matches the Rfam family "Bacterial small subunit ribosomal RNA", at positions 30 to 420 of the family's 1533-position model. The record is from RNAcentral.
AUUGAACGCUGGCGGCAUGCCUUACACAUGCAAGUCGAACGGCAGCACGGGAGCAAUCCUGGUGGCGAGUGGCGAACGGGUGAGUAAUAUAUCGGAACGUGCCCAGUCGUGGGGAUAACGUAGCGAAAGCUACGCUAAUACCGCAUACGAUCUAUGGAUGAAAGCGGGGGAUCGCAAGACCUCGCGCGAUUGGAGCGGCCGAUAUCAGAUUAGGUAGUUGGUGAGGUAAAGGCUCGCCAAGCCGACGAUCUGUAGCUGGUCUGAGAGGACGACCAGCCACACUGGGACUGAGACACGGCCCAGACUCCUACGGGAGGCAGCAGUGGGAAUUUUGGACAAUGGGCGCAAGCCUGAUCCAGCAAUGCCGCGUGCAGGAUGAAGGCCUUGG